UACGUAGGGUGCGAGCGUUAAUCGGAAUUACUGGGCGUAAAGGGUACGCAGGCGGUUAAUUAAGUUAGAUGUGAAAUCCCCGCGCUUAACGUGGGAACUGCAUUUAAAACUGGUUGACUGGAGUCUUGUAGAGGGGGGUAGAAUUCCACGUGUAGCGGUGAAAUGCGUAGAGAUGUGGAGGAAUACCGGUGGCGAAGGCGGCCCCCUGGACAAAGACUGACGCUCAAGUACGAAAGCGUGGGGAGCAAACAGG
RNAcentral lists this ribosomal RNA (253 nucleotides) under uncultured bacterium. RNAcentral describes it as "partial 16S ribosomal RNA". It matches the Rfam family "Bacterial small subunit ribosomal RNA", at positions 524 to 776 of the family's 1533-position model. The record is from RNAcentral.